ACGAACGCUGGCGGCGUGCUUAACCCAUGCAAGUCGAACGGAAAGGCCCUGCCUUUGUGGGGUGCUCGCGUGGCGAACGGGUGAGUAACACGUGAGUAACCUGCCCUUGACUUUGGGUUAACUUCAGGAAACUGGGGCUAUUACCGGAUAGGAGCUCCUGCUGCAUGGUGGGGGUUGGAAAGUUUCGGCGGUUGGGGAUGGGCUCGCGGCUUAUCAGCUUGUUGGUGGGGUAGUGGCUUACCAGGGCUUCGACGGGUAGCCGGCCUGAGAGGGUAACCGGCCACAUUGGGACUGAUAUACGGCCCAGACUCCUACGGGGGACAGCAGUGGGGAAUAUUGCACAAUGGGCGGAAGCCUGAUGCAGCAACGCCGCGGGCGGGAUGACGGCCUUCGUGUUGUAAACCGCUUGCGCCUGUGGCGAAGCUUGGGGGACGGUAAUGGGGAAGGAAGCACCGGCUAACUACGU
Molecule: ribosomal RNA, 466 nt
Filed under: uncultured bacterium
Lineage: Bacteria
Description: partial 16S ribosomal RNA
Rfam family: Bacterial small subunit ribosomal RNA
Source: RNAcentral